UUUCGUGAUAUUUAAAAUAUUAAGUAAAGAUUUGAUAUCAUUCUCAUUUGUCUGGUUGUUCUCUGUGCAAUGGGUCAAUCCAUGCCAGUGUUGGCUCCCUCGUAAGGCCCAACAAUGGUAUCAUAGCUUAGAUUGACUCUGUGGAGAAGCAGAAUUGGUUUAUGGUGGUAGAUCUCAUGUGCAGAGAGUCUCGUACUUGAGGGAGAAAUGUUAAUGUGUCAAGUGCGAGUUAAAGUCACAUUGGAUGUAAGAGUAGAUGUUGAGUAACAUAUAAGUGUUAUGAUCCAUAUACC
This 293-nucleotide long non-coding RNA is filed under the name Medicago truncatula (barrel medic). Its description in RNAcentral is "long non-coding RNA (MTRU_LNC002779)". Lineage: Eukaryota; Viridiplantae; Streptophyta; Magnoliopsida; Fabales; Fabaceae. The record is from RNAcentral.